Molecule: transfer RNA, 69 nt
Filed under: Arthroleptis poecilonotus (West African screeching frog)
Lineage: Eukaryota; Metazoa; Chordata; Amphibia; Anura; Arthroleptidae
Description: tRNA-Arg
Rfam family: tRNA
About the family: Transfer RNA (tRNA) molecules are approximately 80 nucleotides in length. Their secondary structure includes four short double-helical elements and three loops (D, anti-codon, and T loops).
Source: RNAcentral
GAGUAGUUAGUCCAACUAAGACAGCUGAUUUCGACUCAACUAAUUAUGGUUCAAACCCAUAACUACUCU